RNAcentral lists this ribosomal RNA (450 nucleotides) under uncultured bacterium. RNAcentral describes it as "partial 16S ribosomal RNA". It matches the Rfam family "Bacterial small subunit ribosomal RNA", at positions 354 to 796 of the family's 1533-position model. The record is from RNAcentral.
GUGGGGAAUUUUGGACAAUGGGCGAAAGCCUGAUCCAGCAAAGCCGCGUGUGUGAAGAAGGCCUUCGGGUUGUAAAGCACUUUUGGCAGGGAAGAAACAGUGCGUGCUAAUACCAUGCGCGAAUGACGGUACCUGCAGAAUAAGCACCGGCUAACUACGUGCCAGCAGCCGCGGUAAUACGUAGGGUGCAAGCGUUAAUCGGAAUUACUGGGCGUAAAGCGUGCGCAGGCGGCUUUGUAAGACGGAUGUGAAAGCCCCGGGCUCAACCUGGGAAGUGCAUUCGUGACUGCAAGGCUAGAGUGUGUCAGAGGGAGGUGGAAUUCCGCGUGUAGCAGUGAAAUGCGUAGAGAUGCGGAGGAACACCGAUGGCGAAGGCAGCCUCCUGGGAUAACACUGACGCUCAGGCACGAAAGCGUGGGGAGCAAACAGGAUUAGAAACCCCAGUAGUCC